CACGUCACGAAAGUCGGUAACACCCGAAGUCAGUGGCCCAACCGCAAGGGGGGAGCUGCCGAAGGUGGGAUCGGUGAUUGGGACGAAGUCGUAACAAGGUAGCCGUACCGGAAGGUGCGGCUGGAUCACCUCCUUUCUAAGGAGUUCCUUAGAUGUAAGCGUCUAGUUUUACUAGCGUCUUAUGUGGAGCAUUGACUUAGGUUUAUUUCUUUCAAAAAUCUCUAGUACAACUGAAAACCCUCUCCGUUUACGGGAAGGGUUACUAAGAGUGGAACAAGCUCUCUUUGAAGACUGAACUGGGCACGUUGUUGGGUCCUGAGGGGACGGCUAGCGCCUACCUUCUGGACUUAGUAAGCAGGUCAAACCAGAUGUAUCUCGAUUGAAAGAUCGAAUACGUAAAGGUGGCCACGGCAUACUGAGUACCGCCCGUAGCUUGAGAACUACACAGUGGACGCGAGCAUCUUUGUGGUCAAAUUAUUAAGUGCACAUGGCGGAUGCCUUGGCACCAGAAGCCGAUGAAGGACGUAGGAGGCUGCGAUAAGCCUCGGGGAGCUGUCAACCGAGCUGUGAUCCGAGGAUUU
RNAcentral lists this unclassified non-coding RNA (581 nucleotides) under uncultured bacterium SH5. RNAcentral describes it as "contains partial 16S ribosomal RNA, complete intergenic spacer region, and partial 23S ribosomal RNA sequence". The stretch from base 1 to 136 matches the Rfam family "Bacterial small subunit ribosomal RNA", at positions 1398 to 1533 of the family's 1533-position model. The record is from RNAcentral.